Molecule: long non-coding RNA, 382 nt
Filed under: Ananas comosus (pineapple)
Lineage: Eukaryota; Viridiplantae; Streptophyta; Magnoliopsida; Poales; Bromeliaceae
Description: long non-coding RNA (ACOM_LNC033197)
Source: RNAcentral
ACGGACUCAACCUCUCUUAACCUCCUAUGAAUCUUCGCGCUACCCUCCGGGUUGUCCACGCCCUCACGUUCGAAUCCACGAACGCCUCCACUUCGAAUCCACGAAGCUUCAAUCACGCCGAAUCCACGACGCCACUCGAAUCCACGAGCCCACGAUUCGAAUCCACGAACCGCCUUCAAUCACGCCGAAUCCACGAUGCCGUUCAUGAAGAGCAUCAUGAUUAUGGUGAUCCUUCGCUUAGGAGUAUCGUAGAAAACCAGGGAAUAGAACUACAAGCGAAGCGGAGAUCAAAUCGAUAUAUAGAGAAUGCGAAACGAUAUCUCGAUUUGAUCUAAAGAGGCUAAUUUGUAUAAAAUAGGUUUAGAAUGAAAUCCGAGCCUCU